RNAcentral lists this long non-coding RNA (461 nucleotides) under Lathyrus oleraceus (garden pea). Its description in RNAcentral is "Pisum sativum (pea) long non-coding RNA (PSAT_LNC013202)". The record is from RNAcentral. Lineage: Eukaryota; Viridiplantae; Streptophyta; Magnoliopsida; Fabales; Fabaceae.
UUUCACGAGUUGCUACACCGUGUCAAUUCCUUUGCUCCUCCGACGAGAGAUUCUACAAGUGGCUAGAAGAAUUGCAGUUAACUAGUUUUAGUCUUAGGAAAUUUAUAGUUUCGUUUGGCAAUAUUUUUAAUCUUAGGAUUUAUUUUUCGCAUGUUUUAUUUUUAUAUUCAGUCAAAUACUACAUUAUGUUUAUUUUUAUGAAGCUACUGGCAUUAUUGGUUAAAUUAAAUUUCAUUUUGAUUUAUGCACUGUCUAAAAUUACCAAUGAUGAUAUAUAUUGUAUGCUACUACUUACAUGGCUUAUUAGAGAAAAAAAAAAAUAUAUUCUAUGGUGUAGUAAAGUAGCAUCCAUGACACACACAAAAAAACAUAAAAUAAUAAAAAUAACAAAUAUAAUAAACAAAACAUUAAUAAAAAUAAAAAAAUUUAAUAAAGCACCCACGCAUGUUGUCACGAACGUU